This is a long non-coding RNA of Malania oleifera, 1385 nucleotides long. RefSeq lists it as uncharacterized. NCBI's taxonomy places the organism in Eukaryota, Viridiplantae, Streptophyta, Magnoliopsida, Santalales, Ximeniaceae. The transcript is spliced from 2 exons. The record is from RefSeq and is a predicted model, not a curated record.
AUGUUAUAUUAUUUUUACUGUUAUUUUUUUUUUUUUUUUUUUAUCAAAAACUGAAUACCCGAAUUCCUUUCAUACAACGCAGCAAAGUCCUAGCAUCGCCGCCCCUUGCGUGACUCAAUCACGCGUCGCCACCACCCUCCAGCUACUAUCGGUCCAUCGCCGCCGUGUCCAGCCACCGCUCUCCGGCCACUCUCGGUCCAUCGCCCCUGUGCCCUCCUACUGCCCUUCGGUCACUCUCGUCCUAUCGAUUUAAUUUAUAUCGACCUGUAGGAGAGAAUUUACGCUGCGUUCCCUCUCGGGGUUCCCUGGGGUAUCUUCUCGCAUCUUAGAAUCGAAGAGCUUCCGGUUUGUAACAGAGCCAAACAUGGCGAUUGCAUCAGGCAAAAAUGGCAAGCAUGGUGAAGAUGAGGGAGUGACAGAGCAGGGUCACGAAAUUGUACUCCACAACUUCAAAGAGAAACCAGAAAGCUGUAACACCGGUUAGAAUUGCAGCUGACAAACGCUUAUCCUUCCAUAGUAUUAUGUCUGCAGCUGCAUGCACAAUAUCAUUCCAAAGGUCAGUUGAUUUUAGACCUUUGAUUUUUCAUAGAUAGCAUUUGGUAUAUAGAGGAAAUAACUAUGAAAAUAUAUUUUCUUUCGUUUGCGCACGUGUGAAGAAACAAAAUAUUAAUUUUUAUACAUAAUUAAUCUUAAUUUUUUUCUUUACAAAUUUUUAUUCAUAUUAAAAUGGAUUUAUAUUCAUAAUCGAAUUUGAUACAGAUAAAAAAAUGCGAUAAGAAACAAAAUUUAUUUUUAUUAAAUUUUCUAAACAAAAUAUCUUUGAUCCAAACGAAAGAAGUAAGGAACUAUAAAGGAGAAUCACCUUUUCCUCCACCGAACAUCGAGUGCAAAGGCCUUUGGUGACCGAACAAUUUUACGUGAGAUGUAGUUGGGCGACCUGAGGGAUCCAUCCCGAAUGGUAGGUUAUGUUCAAAAUUAGUGUGGUGUGCAGCCUUCUUCAUUGAUAAAAAUUAAUGUGGUGUGCAGCCUUGCCUUCUUCAUUGAUAAUUUUUAUAUAUAUAUAGAGAGAGAGAGAGAGAGAGAGAGAGAGAGAGAGAGAGAGAGAGAGGAAGGGUUCAAUUGUAAGCUGCUGGGUAGCCAAGAAAUUUGAAAUGAGGAAGAAAGGGAUAGCUUUGGCAAGGCUUACAAGAAUGCUUCACGUGCCAAACUCUAGGCUAUAUUUGGUUUUCCUUCGCACCAAUGCUAGCUAUGAUAGAUUCUUUUUGUUUAUGAAGUUAAAGGUAAGAGUGACAUCAAAAUUUAUAUUUAUGCGUAACUCUUGAUUGUAUAAAUCUAAGGGUAAAAUGAUAUUCGAUCAAUAUUUCAAUAUAUGUAAAACUAUUAAG